UGCCAGCCGCCGCGGUAAUACAUAGGGGUCAAGCGUUAUCCAGAAUCAUUGGGUUUAAAGGGUCCGUAGGCGGUCUAAUAAGUCAGAGGUGAAAUCCUACAGCUCAACUGUAGCAUUGCCUUUGAUACUGUUAGACUUGAGUUAUUGUGAAGUAGUUAGAAUGUGUAGUGUAGCGGUGAAAUGCAUAGAUAUCACACAGAAUACCGAUUGCGAAGGCAGAUUACUAACAAUAUACUGACGCUGAGGGACGAAAGCGUGGGUAGCGAACAGGAUUAGAUA
This 279-nucleotide ribosomal RNA is filed under the name uncultured bacterium. RNAcentral's name for it is "partial 16S ribosomal RNA". It matches the Rfam family "Bacterial small subunit ribosomal RNA", at positions 506 to 784 of the family's 1533-position model. The record is from RNAcentral.